GGGGCUGUGGCUGGUGGGCAGCGUCCGCGCUCCCGGCGAGCGAAGGGCAAUCGUUCUUCCUCGCAGGGGAGUUCGGCUUCGCCCGCCGCCUCACC
This 95-nucleotide transfer RNA is filed under the name Kitasatospora aureofaciens. Its description in RNAcentral is "tRNA-Gly". Lineage: Bacteria; Bacillati; Actinomycetota; Actinomycetes; Kitasatosporales; Streptomycetaceae. The record is from RNAcentral.